CCCCUAACCAGGAGACUGAAGCAGUCAGACUCAUAGCACCAGGACAGGUCAGUCUCUAGAUAACUUACUGCUCUCAGGUCUAGUCAGCCUCCAGAUAACUUACUGCUCUCAGGUCUAGUCAGCCUCUAGAUAACCUACUGCUGCCAUCCUCAGGUCUAGUCAGUCUCUAGAUAACCUACUGCUCUCAUCCUCAGGUCUAGUCAGCCUCUAGAUAACCUACUGCUCUCAUCCUCAGGUCUAGUCAGCCUCUAGAUAACCUACUGCCCUCGGGUCUAGUCAGCCUCUAGAUAACCUACUGCUCUCAGGUCUAGUCAGCCUCUAGAUAACCUACUGCUCUCAGGUCUAGUCAGCCCCUAGAUAACCUACUGAUCCCAUCCUCAGGUCUAGUCAGCCUCUAGAUAACCUACUGCUGCCAUCCUCAGGUCUAGUCAGCCUCUAGAUAACCUACUGCUCUCAGGUCUAGUCAGCCCCUAGAUAACCUACUGAUCCCAUCCUCAGGUCUAGUCAGCCUCUAGAUAACCUACUGCUGCCAUCCUCAGGUCUAGUCAGCCUCUAGAUAACCUACUGCUCUCAGGUCUAGUCAGCCCCUAGAUAACCUACUGAUCCCAUCCUCAGGUCUAGUCAGCCUCUAGAUAACCUACUGAUCCCAUCCUCAGGUCUAGUCAGCCUCUAGAUAACCUACUGCUCUCAUCCUCAGGUCUAGUCAGCCUCUAGAUAACCUACUGCUCUCAUCCUCAGGUCUAGUCAGUCUCUAGAUAACCUACUGCUCUCAGGUCUAGUCAGCCUCUAGAUAACCUACUGCUCUCAGGUCUAGUCAGCCUCUAGAUAACCUACUGCUCUCAGGUCUAGUCAGCCUCUAGAUAACCUACUGCUCUCAGGUCUAGUCAGCCUCUAGAUAACCUACUGCGCCCAUCCUCCGGUCUAGUCAGCCUCUAGAUAACCUACUGAGUGACUCUCUCUCUCUCUGUCUCUCGCUCUCUCUCUCAUGAAUUACAAGUUGGUCAGUCGAGCCUCUGCAUUUAUUUUCUCUCUGUCUUUGUUUCAUUCUGAGAGGGAAUUCAUUUAUUUUUGUCCAGAUCCCACAGAAUUAAAGCAGUUUCUCUCUUUCUCAUCUGAUAUCUGUCUCUGAGCGUUAAUGAGAUGCGUUCUUUGUCAUUAUAAUAGUCAUAAUAACGAUUUGGCUCAGGAUGGUUGAAUACUAUAAGUCUUUACUUCAGCUGUUAAUAUCAUAUGGAUCUGCAUUCAUUCAUCCCGAUUCUGGCUUUUAUCAACACUUGUGAAAACAAAAGCAGUGCUUUGAAAAUAUGUUUUUUAUUUUAUUUUUAUAGCCAACUAAUUGGCACAGCUUGGGAACCAGUGAGUCAGAGGAGAAGGUGGCAAAAUAACUGGUUGUAUUUAUACAUCUCUAUCUGGCUGUAAAAUACGUCAUCUCUGUUCACAUUUAACACACAUUUGAGCCAGAGUGGUGUCAGAAGGGUGGG
This is a long non-coding RNA of Oncorhynchus keta (chum salmon), 1481 nucleotides long. RefSeq lists it as uncharacterized. Lineage: Eukaryota; Metazoa; Chordata; Actinopteri; Salmoniformes; Salmonidae. The record is from RefSeq and is a predicted model, not a curated record. The transcript is spliced from 3 exons.